RNAcentral lists this long non-coding RNA (1336 nucleotides) under Olea europaea subsp. europaea. Lineage: Eukaryota; Viridiplantae; Streptophyta; Magnoliopsida; Lamiales; Oleaceae. The record is from RNAcentral.
CGAAAAGGCAAGAGACAGAAGGAUAUGAGAAAAGGAGCAGAAGAAGAGGUAAUAGUGCAUUCUUAGGAGAAAAAUUAUAUUUGGAGAAUGGGUGGUUGACAAUGACAUGCUCAUUAUAUGGAAUCUGCCAAUAUUAGAGCAUCAAGGGCACGAAAACGACUACGCUCGAAGCAAUGUACAUUAAUAGGAACACAUAUUUGAAUUCAAUAUUUUUUGUUUUUUAAUGAAAUCUGUAAUGAAAUUGUAGUCAUUUUGCCUUCUCCAUUUUCCAGCUUUUGUAUGUUAAUAAUUUUGGGGAAGUUAUGAAAAUUAUGUGCAAAUAUAGAAAUCAGAAGAUGACUGAACCUAGGCCUAAUAGUGCAUGAUAACAACUCCAUUUUCCGUCAUUAUGAGAUUGGAUAAGUGAUCUAUUUUACUGAUAAUUUCUUGUAUAAAAUUUAUAGAUUCCUUUUGAUGAUUUUUGUAUUCCAUUGUUGCAAGAAGCAACCAUAUACCCAACAAGAUUUCGAAACAGCUAUGUACUUAAGUAGACAGAUCAUUGGCUUUUUAUUGAAGUGCAGUUGAAUUAUGAUUUCGUCCAGUGUAUUGAUUUUGGAAUGUAUAUUAAAAACAUAUUAGUAUCUUGAUUUGGUAUUAUAUUUCGAUUGCUUUUUGUAAUCCAUUAUGUUUUUUUGUGGAAUAAGCUUAAUAUUCAUAAGUGCUUGGCUGCCAGGAUAAUCCUAGCAUUCUUAAGUGCUUGACUGUCAGGAUAUAUUUGCUGAUCUAUUUCAAUGAUUUAUAUUGAUUUCAAGGACAAAUUAUUUUUCUAGCGUACUUAAAAAAGCCCAUCUGUCUAAGAGACUUUGAUGCUGUUGCACUAUAGAAACUCAACUCUAUCUUAUGGUUCCAGCAAAUUUAAGGCAACUGAGAAUACAAAACCUCUCAUGAAAAACAUAUACAAAAAAAAUACAAAUUGCCUAUAAGAAAAUUGACAUAAUUUAAUCAUAACUCAAAGGCUCGAAGCCAUUAAUGGAUCAAAAGUAUCAAGUUACAGUUAGCUAACUUUCUGCAGCAACAAAAUAAGAAGUGUUCUCAUCCUAAUCAAUUAAGUGACAAUAAAAUAAUACAGAAGGAUAUAAUCUGCACCAUCAAAUAGACUGAGUUCUAGCAUAGUCAUAGAGAAGGAUCAUGUCUUGGCAGUCAUAACAAGUCCUUAACAAGAAUAGACAAAUUCACUCAAUUUUGAAUAAAGCAAUAACUAGAAAACCUACUUUAAUAUCAAAUAACAGAGAAGUUUUAUAAGGGGAUGGCAAUAGACAUUCAAAUUACAAACACAAAUUUCAAAUUAUUGGGAUUC